CCAAGCUGCUGGCAAGAGGGGAGACUUUGGGCAUACUUUCUCCUCUCCCACAAAGAUCUACCAAAAGGAAAGGGAAGGAGAGAAGAAAGGGAGGAAGAAGGGUCUCUGCCCUCUCAUGAAGAGGAUCGGUCAGAGGGUUAGCAGUUUCUAUAUGACACAGCCCAUCAGGGUCACUUGAAGAGAGCAGCAAUAUGUCAGCAGAAUUCCACUCCUCCUCCUAUAAGAUUUCAUCAGAUGGCAAUGUGCAGAAAGAACAAAGCCUCACACUCUCUCUGUCACAUCAUAGCCAUUGUCUACAAUGGGAAAAUAUCAUUCCGGAUCAGAGCCAAGGUCCUUCUACCUCAUUAUCCAAGCUCAAAGGCCAGCACUAGUUGCUUUAGAGAUCUGCAGGACUAUAACAAAGAAGAAGGCAGAAGGAAAAAGCUGACAAAGUAGGCAGCCAAGACACUGGAAUCCUGGAAGGGAGAGGCAAAAUCCUGAUGAAACACAGCAAACAUCUGAG
Molecule: long non-coding RNA, 502 nt
Organism: Chelonoidis abingdonii (Abingdon island giant tortoise)
Lineage: Eukaryota; Metazoa; Chordata; Testudines; Testudinidae
Source: RefSeq, a predicted model, not a curated record